Molecule: long non-coding RNA, 6586 nt
Organism: Pipra filicauda (Wire-tailed manakin)
Lineage: Eukaryota; Metazoa; Chordata; Aves; Passeriformes; Pipridae
Exons: 2
Source: RefSeq, a predicted model, not a curated record
GUUCAGCCUCAGAACUCAUGUAUAAAUGUGGGCAGGGAGGGUGCAAAGAGGAUGGAUCCAGGCUCUUCUUGGUGGAGCAGUAGGCAGCCGGCAGAAACCGAUGCACAGGAAGUUUCACGAAUAUGACGAAAAACUUCUUUACCGUGCGGGUGACCACGCACCGGAACAGACUGCCCAGGUCACAGCCAACUUAUCCAGCACGGACCCCAAGUGAAGCAGGACUGCCGAGCACCUUCUCCUCCGCAGCAAAACACCAGAAACCUCCCUGCUCACAAAUCACCCCCUUCCCUCCCUUUUUGUUACCGUUUCUCCCUAUUCUCCAGCUCCCUGGGCUUUGUUUCUCACUGCAACCCAGGCGAGAGCCGGAUCGAUAACCCGCUGCCACAUCCCAACAAACACACUCAAAAGUCCAAAGAUAACAAAGGAAAAGUGAUAAAAAUCCCUCCACCUCGGUGAUAACUUUCAAGGCAAGCAGGAAAGAGCAGGCAGAGAUGAAGUUCAGCAGGCAGGAGCAUCUUUGAGAGUUAGGAGAGGAGAAGUAGCUUACCUUGCCGUGACGCACAUGGAGGGGUUAUUUUUGUUUUCCGCUGCACUUGGAUUGCUGUGUCCUUUGCUUGUGACACUCCGGGACUCGAAUGGUGGCACCGCUGUGUGACACCCGGUAUUAGGGAGGCUGCUGGAGCCGUCCCUCCCACGGUAGGAGGGGCCAUGAGAGGCUUAAUAAAUUCAGUUCCCAAGGCUAGAAAAAUUAAAAUCUCAUCAUGGGACACAGGCAGCUCCUCGCUGCAUUGCUCCAGGAGACGCCAGGGACUUGAAGACGAACCUGGGAUUGGCUGAUUUAUCCCUCACCCACCCAGAACAGGAGAGGCUGGUAUUCACAUCCCACCUUGGCAGAAUUAGGUGUCCAGAGGAUGGGAUUUGAGGAAGUAUCCCAAAGGAUAUUUGGGAAAGAUGUGUCAUCGUUGACCCUCAGAAUUAAAGCUCCUGAACCUCCUUCAUGAAAAUAUUUUCCACGGCUCUAAGCCCCAGGCAGGAAUCCACUGCAGCAGAUUUGUGGGCAACCCCGGUGCAAAACCUGCUUAUUUUACUUAUUUUUUUACAUGGUUUUGGCCUUUAAUAUCUAAAUCCUAUUAGAGUUAUAACUUCCUUUGAGGGGGGAGAGGGGAUAGGUCAGUACAACAAAAGCAGGUUGUGUUUUGUAACCUCCAAUGCACCCUGGACUUUCAGAGAGGCAAAAUCCCACCAUAAAGUUUCUCAGGAUAGGAAACUGUACAACCUCAUGCAGCUCCUCCUGCUCCAUAGAAGUUCUUCACUGCACGAAAGGCUAAAAAAACAUUCCCUCCAGCUUCAGAGGACUCUCUGAAACACCACUGGUGCAGUUUUUUCAUCCCUGUGGUUUCUCACAUUGAGUUUUUUCUUGUUAGAUGAAAAGACAGACCAGGGGGUCCCUCUACGACUGCUCUUGGAAACAGAGAGAGCAAGAACAGGCCAGAAAUAAUGGCCCAGCAGUUUUUGAGAAAGAGAAACUUUUAAUUAGAAGAUGAGCUACAGAGAUGACAGCCUGGUUCGCUCUGAAACCUAAUGAUGAGCAGAAGGCAUAUAAGAGUUCCUUUAAGACAGUCUUGCUAAUCCUUACUUUGCACUAGGUCCUAAAAUAACAUCACUCCCCCUUUGGAAUUGGGAGAAUUGGAAUAGGAAUUGGAAUUGGAAUUAAAUGCAGGAACCACAAGACAUGGAGGUAAAAGCAGCUGUUUUUAUUGCUGGUUUCCCAGCUAACACUUAGCUGGCUGGAGUAAAAAUGCAUAGGAUUGUGUGUCAGCCUCAACAGCCUCUAGAAAUAUUAGUUGCUUUUUGGUCUGAUUCCUGGAAAUCUGAUAAAUAAGGCAGGAAAGGGUGAGAUUAAGAAGGCUGGUGGCACUAAUGAGAUUUAGGAAGCAGCAGCUUUUCCAGGUACCCUGCAGUCUUAAUCUCCUGAGUUGAUCCACUGGAUUUUUCUUCUUAUGUAUUUGUGGCCAUGUUGAGCUCAGCUUCAUCACGAGGCCACACUAAGGUCCUGAAGGUCCAUACUCAGGGAAUGGGGAUGGCCUGGAAGAUUUGAGGAGGAGUGGAGAGCCCAGAGGGCAUGAGCACUUUGCUCUGCCUUUGAAGCCAGUAGUAGGGUCAACACUCCCAAAAAAAACUUUUGAAGGGGCUUCACCAUCAUCCCUACCCAGGCUGCUGUUCUUCCAGCUGCUGCAUCCUCAAGCUGUGGAUGAACUCUAAGGGGUACGUGGGGAUAAGAGGACAGGGUUGAGUAACAUCAUCAGCACAAAAAAGCUCCCUACAGUGGAGGGAAGAGCCCUGAAAAAUUAAAAAGGUUAUUAAAAGCACAACCAUAGCCUUACCUCCUUACAAGCAAAGAAACUCCAAAUAUCCCUCUUCUCUGCCCUAAAAUAUUGCUGUGGUUUUGCUUUCUUCUGGGUUUAGAGAUGCAAAGCCUUCAGCACCACAGUUUGCUCUGCAAACACCCAGCAAAUCAGCUGGGAAGAUGUUGCUCUGGGUUCAGUGUCUUCAGUUCAGAGUUCCCUGGCUUAUCUCAACUACAAAAUCCUCACGCAGUGUCCCAGCCAAUGUCCUAGACCUACCAGAAGCUGGGACUGAGGGCAAGCAAGGAUCAGCUGGAGCCCUGCCAGAAAGCCCAGCCUUGGAGUUUAUGAGCCCAUAAAGGAAAUGCCUGCAAGGGACUGGUGCUGUACGAACCCACUCCAAGGAUAUCAGCAGGGCAGGUCAGCCUUGAACCCGAUGAGUUUUGCCUCUGUUUGUGUCAGGAGAAGAUAAAACCAGGGGGAAAAUAGCACAAACAGGGAGCAAGGAUGGUCUCCUUGCCCAGCUGCCAGCCCCACCAUGGAGCCUUUUGUUGCGAAAUACAUACAUUCACAUCCUCCUACCCUAAAUCCUACCCAGUUCAGGACAUUUGCCCUCUCCCAACACACUGCCUUGGCAGCAUAAAGAGUCUAGCAUGUGUCCCCAUCGCCCCCCCCGCACUGCUCAUGUGCACAAAGAACAGCUGCUGAGCCUUGAGAGCAGGUGACUCAUGCAGGUAACAACAUCCCCAUGAGAUUAAUGACAGAAAUGGCACUGUUUAUGGCAUUUCCAGGAAUGAUAAGGGAGGUGGAGGGAGAAGGAGGUGACCUGAACUGAUCCAAGCUUCAGGCCUUAUUCUCCUGGUGGACAGCAGACACAGGUCUGCUGGCACAGACCCCCACAGCCAUGGGCAAGCAGCGUCUGCCAUUUGCAGCAAGUGGUAUCCCACCAAAAAGUAGAAAUGUCAGUCACUGGAGGCACAGAGGAUGGGCUGGGGGGGAAAGGGACCCUGGGCAGCUUCAAGCCCCAUCACAAGAGAGCAGAGACGCCUCCAGAACCACAACAAGCAGCAUGUCCAAGUAUGAAGAUGUUGACAAUCAACUUCACACCGAGCCCCAGAGGAUAAGGCUGCGGGGGGAAGGGGGAGGUGUCUCUCUUGCCGUCUCCCAGCCUGAACUCUUUGACAUACAGCUCUGACGCAUCAAAAACAGGGAGACCAUCAGCUCCUGCAAAGUGUUGAUGUGGGGAGACUCAGGGUAAAGCAGAGGCACCGUGCAAAUGGGGAGCAGAAGGUUUUGCAAAAUGCUGGCAAACCUCCACAGAAAACAGGGCCUGACUCUGCUCCUGCAUUCUGGGACAUCUCCUUCACCAUCACUUCUCCAGCUGCUUGAAUUGAUCAGAGUUAUUUUUAAGCCCAUUUGGUCCCAAGAAAUGCUCCCGUCCCUUCCUGAAGGAUGGCAGUGGCUGUGGAUAAUGUUGCAAAGCCCAACAAGUUGUGCCAAAGACAUGGCAGUUUCUUUGGAGUAUGUAGCCCACCAGAUGCAAAGCUUACCCCUAUUUUCAGAAUAUAAACUCAAAAAAUGACCUCGUGUAGGCAGAAUUGCCAGGCAAGUCCUCCCGAGUCCUGGGGUUCAGUGAGGGUCUCUGAGUGUUGUUCCCGAGCGAGCAACAUCGCUCGGGUGGACAGUAAAGGAGGGCCAGAUGGAUUUAUCACACAGCCUAACUGUGGGGAACCAGCCCCACGGCACAAAUACAAGCCGUGUUGGGUGGAUGGAAGGAGCUUUCACAUCGUUCUCAAAGCAACCGGCAGGGGCAAACUCUGCCUCUCACAGCUGUUGCUGCAGCAACUCCGCCGCCCGCUCUCCCACGGCUGCUGGCACCACAGCCAGGCUGAUACAGCCGUGUGUAAAGGGGGAAAGGGGCAAUUCUCACCCUUCUUCCAUAUUUUAUGGCUGUCCUUUAUGAAAUGACAUCAUUUUGUUCUUUCCUGGAAGAAAUUGGGGAAUCGCAACGCACCGAGGAGGAUGCAAUUUGAGUUACUCUGAGGGGCCAAGGGAGUCCCAGAGGGGUAAAUCAGAUGCAAGGACCAGUGAGGAAGAAGAGGGUGUGAUGAAACGUCCCUUGGCCAAAUGUUUCUGUGUCCAAGAAACAUAAUGUGGCAAACAUUGCUGGAGGACCGUGACAGAUCUCAGGAGUGAAACACGUCAGAGUUUUGUUUCAUGAGCACACAGGCAGCUGCUCUGUGCUUCCCUCUCCUGCCUCAUCCCCCUCUUUUGUGGGUGAAUCUCGAGGCCCAUGUUAGCCACUACCCUGAUGGUUCUCUUCACCAGAGUGGUGAGAACACCUGCUGCUCCUCAGUGGGGAUAUUGCAGCAAAGUCCCCCACUGUCCCAGGGUUAUAAACCACCCUUCAGGGAACUGAGCAGCCUGUGAGCCCCUGAGCCCCAAUGAGUUUUGUGGGGACACAGAGCCAGUGUCCCAUUUAGGACAAUCAACAAUGUUUCCCACCACUCAGGCUCUUAAAACUCUCCUGUGUUCCAUGUCUCCCAGCCUGGGCCAUGCUGCUUGUACUGUGGCUUUGUCACCAUGGAGCCUCUUGAGUGACACUUGUCAUCACCAGGAUGAGCCCCGAGACCUCAGGGGGUGCUUCUUACCCUUCACAUGGCUGGGUAGCACAGGCAAGCAGAGCCAGGCUUGUCAGUGGGCGCAACUAUCAAUGAGACCUCCCUUCCCCAGCACACCAGUGCCAGUGGUGACAUUGCCAAAGCUCUUGCACACGCCUGGGAGCACCCAGCCCACCCUGCCCGGUACAAGGUGACACCUGAGCUGGAUGGUGCCUGCUGUGGGGACGCCACCAUCUCUCUCUGCCCCAGUGUUACCACUGAUCUCUUGCCGGUCCUUCCUGGGCUGGCACCAACCUAAUGGACUCUUCAUGGUGGCAAAAGAAAUAGGACAACUUAUGUGUCGAUCCCUGGACUGGGCUAUUCCCAAAGCCCGGAGUGCUUCAGAGUGACUACAAAACACAAAGACUUCGAGUGAGAGGUGGGGUUAAAGCCUAAUGUGGUUAAGAAGUGUGAAGAGUAGAAGAAAGUAGUGGACUCACCAUUCAUGCAGCCAUGAGGUUGGGGAAUGAGAGGGAGUGGGGCUGGGGGGAGCAGUUUGCCUCCCUGUUCACUCCCCUCUUGUGCCAGACAAGAUUCCCUCCCCUUCCCCCUUCGUGCAUAUCGCUCUCCACUGGUGAGAAAAGAGAGGGCUGUUACCUGCCCACUGCCCUCCAGGGGCAGAUGAUCCAGGCACUACUGAGCCUUGGACAUCAUUACAGCUGUACAUGUGGCCAGAAGGACCCUGACCUUGACUACCAGAAGAUCUGUUAGCCCCAGAUUUCUGCAGGUUAGUGGUUUUAAGGCACAAGGUGUGGGGUGAGGGACAAGUCCUGUUCACUUCACCCCAACUGCAUUCAGAGGGGACAAGCCUCUGCUCAGCAGCACCUCACAGCCUCUCUCAACGUUGCCAGCCAUCGUGGUGCAGUGGUGAUGUGCCCCUUCUCCCUUACCAGGCUUAACUGAUAUGUCAGCGCAGCCCUGGUCCACCAGAAAGUUCCACCAGACCUGAGGAAGCAUGAGGGUGUUGGCAGACACCCUCCCUGUUGAUGUACACAGAGGACCCAGCAUUAGGGACCUGUGCUGGGAUGGGAGCAGAGGGCCUGUCCUUGAUGGUUCACACGUUAACUCAUGGCCUUGGCAGGGGAACACAUUUGCCUUACGAGGCUGCUGAAACCUGUAAGUGUAGAUAAUAACACCAAAAUGCAAGAGGAGCAAAGCUGGAGUUGGGGUGAUCACAGGGGAACAGGCAUACCAGCACACCAGAUUCCAUGUCAGGACAAUCUCCUUAUCCAUGCUGAUGUGCCCCGGCUGCCUCCAGCGUUCAUCCUCCAAAAGAAACAUAAGUUUCUUUUUGUGUUGCUCGUGGAAAAUGAGAUACAUAAAAAGAAAGGAAUCUUCAGUGCCGGGAGGGGGCAGCACAGCCCUGGGAAUGGGGAAGGUUCAGGCAAGCCCAGGCAAGCUCCCUGCUCACCGUGUUCAAGCUACAGACAGAUCCUCCUCAAAAUGAGCUUCAGAACCAAAACUUGAAUGUCUUCCGGGUGCUGCUGAAAAUGAGGGACCCAGGCAAAGCAUCCUCUGUGUGAGGAGCUGCAGUUUUCCCUGCAGCAUGUAAUAAAGAGCACCUCUUCUCUGUCGUACCUA